AGCAGCCGCGGUAAUUCCAGCUCCAAUAGCGUAUAUUAAAGUUGUUGCAGUUAAAAAGCUCGUAGUUGAAUUUCGGGAUUAGUACGUUGGUCGUGCCUUGGUACGUACUGGUGUAACUGAUUCCUCCCUUCUGACGAACCGUUAUGCCAUUAAUUUGGUGUGGCGGGAAAUCAGGACUGUUACUUUGAAAAAAUUAGAGUGUUUAAAGCAGGCUCGCGCUUGAAUACAUUAGCAUGGAAUAAUGAAAUAGGACGUUAAUCCUAUUUUGUUGGUUUCUAGGAUCGACGUAAUGAUUAAUAGGGAUAGUUGGGGGCAUUAGUAUUCAAUUGUCAGAGGUGAAAUUCUUGGAUUUAUUGAAGACUAACUACUGCGAAAGCAUUUGCCAAGGAUGUUUUCAUUAAUCAAGAAUGAAAGUUAGGGGAUCGAAGACGAUCAGAUACCGUCGUAGUCUUAACCAUAAACUAUGCCGACUAGGGAUCGGAUGAUGUAAUUUUUAAUGACUCAUUCGGCGUCUUACGGG
This 520-nucleotide ribosomal RNA is filed under the name uncultured Glomus. Its description in RNAcentral is "SSU rRNA". It matches the Rfam family "Eukaryotic small subunit ribosomal RNA", at positions 569 to 1094 of the family's 1831-position model. Lineage: Eukaryota; Fungi; Glomeromycota; Glomeromycetes; Glomerales; Glomeraceae. The record is from RNAcentral.